CCUACGGGAGGCAGCAGUGAGGAAUAUUGGUCAAUGGACGCAAGUCUGAACCAGCCAUGCCGCGUGCAGGAAGACGGCUCUAUGAGUUGUACACUGCUUUUGUACGAGGGUAAACGCAGAUACGCGUAUCUUUCUGAACGUAUCGUACGAAUAAGGAUCGGCUACCUCCGUGCCAGCAGCCGCGGUAAUACGGAGGAUUCAAGCGUUAUCCGGAUUUAUUGGGUUUAAAGGGUUCGUAGGCGGUCGGAUAAGUUAGCGGUGAAAUCCCGGGGCUCAACUUCGGAAUUGCCUCUGAUACUGUUAGGCUAGAGAGUAGUUGCGGUAGGCGGAAUGUAUGGUGUAGCGGUGAAAUGCUUAGAGAUCAUACAGAACACCGAUUGCGAAGGCAGCUUACCAAGCUACGUCUGACGUUGAGGCACGAAAGCGUGGGGAGCAAACAGGAUUAGAUACCCUGGUAGUC
This 460-nucleotide ribosomal RNA is filed under the name uncultured bacterium. RNAcentral's name for it is "partial 16S ribosomal RNA". It matches the Rfam family "Bacterial small subunit ribosomal RNA", at positions 338 to 795 of the family's 1533-position model. The record is from RNAcentral.